GGGGUUGUGGCUCAGCGGUAGAGCACUCACCUAGCAUGUGCGAGGCACUGGGUUCAAUCCUCAGCACCACA
This 71-nucleotide transfer RNA is filed under the name Marmota monax (woodchuck). RNAcentral describes it as "tRNA.Ala". It matches the Rfam family "tRNA". Rfam says of the family: Transfer RNA (tRNA) molecules are approximately 80 nucleotides in length. Their secondary structure includes four short double-helical elements and three loops (D, anti-codon, and T loops). The record is from RNAcentral. Lineage: Eukaryota; Metazoa; Chordata; Mammalia; Rodentia; Sciuridae.